UACGGAGGGUGCGAGCGUUAAUCGGAAUUACUGGGCGUAAAGCGCACGCAGGCGGUUUGUUAAGCUAGAUGUGAAAGCCCCGGGCUCAACCUGGGAUGGUCAUUUAGAACUGGCAGACUAGAGUCUUGGAGAGGGGAGUGGAAUUCCAGGUGUAGCGGUGAAAUGCGUAGAUAUCUGGAGGAACAUCAGUGGCGAAGGCGACUCCCUGGCCCAAGACUGACGCUCAUGCGCGAAAGUGUGGGUAGCGAACAGG
This 253-nucleotide ribosomal RNA is filed under the name uncultured bacterium. RNAcentral describes it as "partial 16S ribosomal RNA". It matches the Rfam family "Bacterial small subunit ribosomal RNA", at positions 524 to 776 of the family's 1533-position model. The record is from RNAcentral.